Molecule: ribosomal RNA, 254 nt
Filed under: uncultured bacterium
Lineage: Bacteria
Description: partial 16S ribosomal RNA
Rfam family: Bacterial small subunit ribosomal RNA
Source: RNAcentral
UACGGAGGGUGCAAGCGUUAUCCGGAAUCACUGGGCUUAAAGGGUGCGUAGGCGGUGGCGUAAGUCAGUUGUGAAAUUCCCCGGCUUAACCGGUGGGACUGCGAUUGAUACUGCGUUACUUGAAUCAGGUUGAGGUAGGCGGAAUGUGACAUGUAGCGGUGAAAUGCUUAGAUAUGUCAUAGAACACCGAUUGCGAAGGCAGCUUGCUGGACCUGUAUUGACGCUGAGGCACGAAAGCGUGGGGAGCAAACAGG